Molecule: transfer-messenger RNA, 401 nt
Filed under: Candidatus Saccharibacteria bacterium TM7i
Lineage: Bacteria; Candidatus Saccharimonadota
Rfam family: transfer-messenger RNA
About the family: Bacterial tmRNA, also known as 10Sa RNA or SsrA, is named for its dual tRNA and mRNA-like properties. Its role is to liberate the mRNA from a stalled ribosome.
Source: Rfam by way of RNAcentral
GGGGCUGACCCAGCUUCGACAAGAGGAAUUUAACAGGAUAUUUGGCAAGUCGUUUCACACCCGUAAGGUGUUUACAUAAUUGCAGAAAAACUUGCAAACGUGAAAGCUAUGGUUGCUCAGGUGUUCGCACCGAAGCAAGCUGCUUUCGCACUAGCUGCUUAAUUACUAGCAGCCAUCGCUCUUCCCGAUGAAAUGUAGGGCAGACGGUGUUAUAUUCACAUUUCUUACUCUUUGACGGGGCAGCUGCCGUCACAGGGGACACUUUUCAGCGAAACCGCUCAGACUAUGGUUGUCUUUUGUUUAGGUCUGAUAGGUUUUAAAGUCAUUCGCAAAAGAAUAAGCUUGUAGAGGAAUAUCAGGUUACCUUUUGGACCCGGGGGCAGUACCCGGCAGCUCCACCA